GGGGGGGGGGGGCUAUACAUGCAGUCGAGCGAACAGAUAAGGAGCUUGCUCCUUUGACGUUAGCGGCGGACGGGUGAGUAACACGUGGGUAACCUACCUAUAAGACUGGGAUAACUUCGGGAAACCGGAGCUAAUACCGGAUAACAUUUGGAACCGCAUGGUUCUAAAGUGAAAGAUGGUUUUGCUAUCACUUAUAGAUGGACCCGCGCCGUAUUAGCUAGUUGGUAAGGUAACGGCUUACCAAGGCAACGAUACGUAGCCGACCUGAGAGGGUGAUCGGCCACACUGGAACUGAGACACGGUCCAGACUCCUACGGGAGGCAGCAGUAGGGAAUCUUCCGCAAUGGGCGAAAGCCUGACGGAGCAACGCCGCGUGAGUGAUGAAGGGUUUCGGCUCGUAAAACUCUGUUAUUAGGGAAGAACAAACGUGUAAGUAACUGUGCACGUCUUGACGGUACCUAAUCAGAAAGCCACGGCUAACUACGUGCCAGCAGCCGCGGUAAUACGUAGGUGGCAAGCGUUAUCCGGAAUUAUUGGGCGUAAAGCGCGCGUAGGCGGUUUCUUAAGUCUGAUGUGAAAGCCCACGGCUCAACCGUGGAGGGUCAUUGGAAACUGGGAAACUUGAGUGCAGAAGAGGAAAGUGGAAUUCCAUGUGUAGCGGUGAAAUGCGCAGAGAUAUGGAGGAACACCAGUGGCGAAGGCGACUUUCUGGUCUGUAACUGACGCUGAUGUGCGAAAGCGUGGGGAUCAAACAGGAUUAGAUACCCUGGUAGUCCACGCCGUAAACGAUGAGUGCUAAGUGUUAGGGGGUUUCCGCCCCUUAGUGCUGCAGCUAACGCAUUAAGCACUCCGCCUGGGGAGUACGACCGCAAGGUUGAAACUCAAAGGAAUUGACGGGGACCCGCACAAGCGGUGGAGCAUGUGGUUUAAUUCGAAGCAACGCGAAGAACCUUACCAAAUCUUGACAUCCUUUGAAAACUCUAGAGAUAGAGCCUUCCCCUUCGGGGGACAAAGUGACAGGUGGUGCAUGGUUGUCGUCAGCUCGUGUCGUGAGAUGUUGGGUUAAGUCCCGCAACGAGCGCAACCCUUAAGCUUAGUUGCCAUCAUUAAGUUGGGCACUCUAGGUUGACUGCCGGUGACAAACCGGAGGAAGGUGGGGAUGACGUCAAAUCAUCAUGCCCCUUAUGAUUUGGGCUACACACGUGCUACAAUGGACAAUACAAAGGGCAGCUAAACCGCGAGGUCAUGCAAAUCCCAUAAAGUUGUUCUCAGUUCGGAUUGUAGUCUGCAACUCGACUACAUGAAGCUGGAAUCGCUAGUAAUCGUAGAUCAGCAUGCUACGGUGAAUACGUUCCCGGGUCUUGUACACACCGCCCGUCACACCACGAGAGUUUGUAACACCCGAAGCCGGUGGAGUAACCAUUUAUGGAGCUAGCCGUCGAAGUGACAAAG
This 1452-nucleotide ribosomal RNA is filed under the name Staphylococcus saprophyticus. RNAcentral's name for it is "bacterial SSU rRNA". It matches the Rfam family "Bacterial small subunit ribosomal RNA". The record is from RNAcentral. Lineage: Bacteria; Bacillati; Bacillota; Bacilli; Caryophanales; Staphylococcaceae.